This 418-nucleotide ribosomal RNA is filed under the name uncultured bacterium. RNAcentral describes it as "bacterial SSU rRNA". It matches the Rfam family "Bacterial small subunit ribosomal RNA", at positions 28 to 432 of the family's 1533-position model. The record is from RNAcentral.
GACGAACGCUGGCGGCGUGCUUAACACAUGCAAGUCGAACGAGAAUCUGCGGAAAGAGGAUUCGUCCAAUAGAGGCAGAGGACAGUGGCGGACGGGUGAGUAACGCGUGAGGAACCUGCCUUUCAGAGGGGGACAACAGUUGGAAACGACUGCUAAUACCGCAUGACACAUUGAGGUCGCAUGGCCUUGAUGUCAAAGAUUUAUCGCUGAAAGAUGGCCUCGCGUCUGAUUAGCUAGUUGGUGAGGUAACGGCCCACCAAGGCGACGAUCAGUAGCCGGACUGAGAGGUUGAACGGCCACAUUGGGACUGAGACACGGCCCAGACUCCUACGGGAGGCAGCAGUGGGGAAUCUUCCGCAAUGGACGAAAGUCUGACGGAGCAACGCCGCGUGAACGAUGACGGCCUCGGUUGUAAGUU